Molecule: long non-coding RNA, 667 nt
Organism: Ostrea edulis (European flat oyster)
Lineage: Eukaryota; Metazoa; Mollusca; Bivalvia; Ostreida; Ostreidae
Exons: 3
Source: RefSeq, a predicted model, not a curated record
AAGGAAAGUGUAAAGCAGACAGAGCAGUAAACUUCAAUGUUUCAAGGGAAAUAUUUAUUCUCGUUGGAAGUGAUUUGGAAAAUAAUUAUAGUCAAAUCACCCCUACUGCAAGCCAAUUAUCAGACUGUAUCAAUCUCAGCUGAGUCCAAGAUAGGAAGAGGCUUUGGAGAGAACACAGAAUUACUACAGACAAAAGACUUGUGAAGUUAUAAGGGGAAUUGCAGAACUCAUAGCUCCACUUCAAUCUAGAUAUGUUGACAGUUAUUUCACUGAAACACUUUGCAGCUGACAAAGAUAAUCAAAUGAUGACCACUACUUUAACUCUAUGGUUGCAGCAUAUUUCAAUUUUUGAAGUGACAAAUUUUAUUCCUGUUUGUGAACCAAUAUUCAAAAGAAACACUGCUAUGGCAUUAGACAUAACUUAGAAGAGAGUGGUGGGGUGGCAAAAUAAGAUUCCAUACUGUGAAAUGUAUCAAUUGUUAAUAUACAUAUAUCAAUAUAAAUUCAGUGCCAAUUUUCAUAAUUUCUAGGGGAAAAGUUUGUUUGUAACAAAUGUCAGAAAUAUGCACUAGCUCUUUCUUUGCAAACCAUGCUACUAAGUACCAGGCAUUAAGACAUGAUUUCUUUAUUGUCAUUUGUUAAACAUAGACAGAUCCAGUGAUUUGAA